GAUGAACGCUGGCGGCGUGCUUAACACAUGCAAGUCGAACGAAGCACCUUGAUUUGAUUCUUCGGAUGAAGAUCUUGGUGACUGAGUGGCGGACGGGUGAGUAACGCGUGGGUAACCUGCCUCAUACAGGGGGAUAGCAGUUAGAAAUGACUGCUAAUACCGCAUAAGACCACAGCACCGCAUGGUGCAGGGGUAAAAACUCCGGUGGUAUGGGAUGGACCCGCGUCUGAUUAGGUAGUUGGUGGGGUAACGGCCUACCAAGCCGACGAUCAGUAGCCGACCUGAGAGGGUGACCGGCCACAUUGGGACUGAGACACGGCCCAAACUCCUACGGGAGGCAGCAGUGGGGAAUAUUGCACAAUGGGGGAAACCCUGAUGCAGCGACGCCGCGUGAGCGAUGAAGUAUUUCGGUAUGUAAAGCUCUAUCAGCAGGGAAGAAAAUGACGGUACCUGACUAAGAAGCACCGGCUAAAUACGUG
Molecule: ribosomal RNA, 479 nt
Filed under: uncultured bacterium
Lineage: Bacteria
Description: partial 16S ribosomal RNA
Rfam family: Bacterial small subunit ribosomal RNA
Source: RNAcentral